RNAcentral lists this transfer-messenger RNA (403 nucleotides) under Crocinitomicaceae bacterium. It matches the Rfam family "transfer-messenger RNA". Rfam says of the family: Bacterial tmRNA, also known as 10Sa RNA or SsrA, is named for its dual tRNA and mRNA-like properties. Its role is to liberate the mRNA from a stalled ribosome. Lineage: Bacteria; Pseudomonadati; Bacteroidota; Flavobacteriia; Flavobacteriales; Crocinitomicaceae. The record is from RNAcentral.
GGGGUCGUAUUGGAUUUGACAGCGGUAGCAAUUGUCCAGUGCAAGCAUGUCGAGCAAUGUGGUGAGGCUCGUUAAUAAUUAGUCACAAAUUAUAAUUGACAACACGUCAUACAGACUUGCUGCCUAAUUUAACUCAGUUAAAUUAAGCUUUAUCUCGUGGAAUAAUAGUACACAGACAAGUUCCUUCUCCAUUGUUUCCGUCUGAUAAACAAGGAUCAAGAAGGACCAUUUUUUUCAGAAUAGUGCUAGUGACACUUCUAAGCUAGCAUGAAACUCAGAAGAUAAGUGCAAUUAUUGGGUGUCUUUAUCCGGGAUUGUAUCGAAAAUUAAUUAAAGAAUAAACAUGUAGAAAGCUGAAUUAUUCGUCGUUUGGACGAGGGUUCGAAACCCUCCGACUCCACUG